AAGAUACUAGUAAAAUAAUUACAUUACUUUGUCAAGGUAAAAUUGCAAGUUAAAACCCUGCGUAUCUUA
RNAcentral lists this transfer RNA (69 nucleotides) under Epiplatys togolensis. RNAcentral describes it as "tRNA-Asp". It matches the Rfam family "tRNA". From Rfam's summary of the family: Transfer RNA (tRNA) molecules are approximately 80 nucleotides in length. Their secondary structure includes four short double-helical elements and three loops (D, anti-codon, and T loops). Lineage: Eukaryota; Metazoa; Chordata; Actinopteri; Cyprinodontiformes; Nothobranchiidae. The record is from RNAcentral.